This is a long non-coding RNA of Vicia villosa (hairy vetch), 888 nucleotides long. RefSeq lists it as uncharacterized. The record is from RefSeq and is a predicted model, not a curated record. NCBI's taxonomy places the organism in Eukaryota, Viridiplantae, Streptophyta, Magnoliopsida, Fabales, Fabaceae. The transcript has 4 exons.
UUUACAUGUUGUUCUUCCCCAAAAUGUGAAAUGAGAACCCUAAAAUCUCAAGUUUCUCUCUAACUCACACUAAGCUUCAAUUUCAAUUUCAAUUUUCUUCAGGUAGUUUUUGUGGAUGAUUCUAGACCCUUGUAUCAAAAAGUUGCUGGAUCUUUCAUGAACAAGUUUUUCCCCUCUGGUUAUCCAUACAGGUGUUUUUCAAAUGCUGCAAUUUGUGUCUGAUUUUUCUUCACCCAUGCAGUUUCAUCUUCAAGUGAACUAUCCAGUUUGACCCUCAUUUUUUCAAGCCAAAUUGUAGCCACUUCAAUAUGGAUAGCCAUGACAGCGUUUCGGACUUCGAGACAGAAGAACAUAUUGGUUCUGCACAUCCAAUUUCUAAUAAUGUUGGUUUGUUGCCUCAAAAGCGUAAAAAUCGAUCUGAAGCAUGAAAUCAUUUUAGUCCAAUGCCGUCGAACACAGAAAUGUCAAAGUUAGCAAAAUGCAAGCAUUGUGGUUCCUUGAUCAAGUAUAAUGGUGGAACAAGUGCGAUGCUAGCUCAUUUGAGAAGAUGUAGUGAUAAUCCAGAUAAUACGGUGAAUGGGACGAGGCAUGAACCUUCUUCAAGCUCAACGAAAAAUAGGGAAGCGGUUGUUAAUUCACCCCCCUCGGUUCCCAAAUUUGACCAAGAAGUAAGCCGAAUGGACUUGACAAAAAUGUUUAUAGCCAUGGAACUUCCGUUUCAAAAGGUAGAGCACCCAUAUUUAAAUAGGUUCAUUUAUGGCUUACAACCAAAAUUUAAGUUUCCAUCACGCAAUACGUUGGCACGUGAUGUUUUGAAGAAUUGGGAUGCGGAGAAAGCAAAGAUGAAGACUAUUUUGUCACAAAAUUGUCGUCGAGUUUGUAUCACUA